GCUUCCAGUUGUGAUCUCUUGUUGCUGUGUCACAUCUCCUUAACAUCCUGUUCCUAUGCACCUUGUAUACUCACCUAAUUGUGGCUGCAGGGGUCGAUUCACAGCUCCUGGCCCCGCAUUUUCGCUGGUGUGUGUGUGUGUGUUGGUGGACCACCAACAGCAACAGCCUGCUUGAACAGGCAGUCAACAGAAAAACCUGAGCCCAGAACAGGUGGAGGAAGCAAAAUUUCUAGAAGGUGAUGGCAGGCAGAUGACAAGUGCAAUUAAACUAGACAGAAAGCUUGUGUGUACAAAGGAGGAUAUUUUAUACUGAGCAGAUGUAAAACUCAACACAUAACUGAGUUACAGGACAUUAACUUCUACACUAACAUCGCCUCAGAGGAUACGACUUAUCAGUUCAGUGGGUUCCUGCACACUGUGGAAUCACACAGUGAAGCAGAUGAUGACGUACAAUAAGACUCUUGCAGCCAGGAGUGGUCCUAGUAGCUACCAGCGAAGAGGCGGGGCCCAGGAGCUGUGACUCGACCCCUGCAAGCAAGGCGGGACCCGCCUACCUGUGACAGUGCCUUCAGCUGCUGCAUCUCCUCCGACUCCAGUAUAUAAGCGUCCAUCUUUCUGCUUAUGCUUCAGCUUCAUCAAGACUAAGAUACAAGAUGCUGGUUGUAGGCUCAUCCCAAAAGCCACGUGUGCAAGGCACUCUAAGAGGAUCUACUGAUGCAAAUCUACAGUACUGUGGAUAAGUCACUGUACCGAUAUCAACAACAGCUGCAGCAGCACAAAUGAGAAAUGUAAAUCACAAGACUGUGCUUGGAUUUGAAUAUCAUUCAGACAGUUAAAAAUAUUUGUCUUUCAGAUCUAUUAAUGACAUCAGAAUAUUUCUUUACUGUUUUAUAUCAUGUAAAAUAACUUGAGCAUCUGUUUAUAAAGGUAAUAUAAUAGCACGAUAUAUUUGUUUAGUGUUCCUUAUCCAGACUACACACAUCUUUAUACAUCAUUUCAGUUUAUGCAUCAUAUUCAGUAGUUUAAUGAUAAAUUCCAGUGUGUUUGCCACUAAGGUGAGACACGGAGAACCCCUUGCACAAGGUUGGUUCUAGAGUAAAGACAAGCUACUAUGAUCCACACUGACAAAUUAAAAAUACAGUUGGAUUACAGCUGCGCAGAAAAUACAAUAGACCAAACCUUGUGAGAAAUUUGAAUACGAAAGCUAUGCAUGAACCAGUGAGAAAUAACAUGGAAAACACCUGGUGCUACAAGCCUUUAAACAUCUGUUAUACUCACCAUUUCCUACAGGAGGUUGUGGGAGGGGAGAGAGAUGAAAUAUUUAAAUUCAUCAUCAUAAAAUAUUUCCAUUUAUAUUUGCUAACAUGGCAGUGAAUCAGCUCAUUUACAUAAUACUGUUUCAAACAUGUUUCUAGCAAUUAUCCUUCAGAAUUUAUACUCCUACCAUUUUUAUGGGGUAGAUUAAAAGACUAAGACUUCAACAUACAUGCACUGCACACAAUCAACAUCAGUGUAGUUUAACUAUAGUGACUUCCAGUGGUACAGAGUAGCACACACAUCUUUAAUAGUGAUUCCACUGCUCAUUGCAGUUUCUUCCAGUGGUACAAGGUAACACAAAACAAGUCUUCCAUAGUGUACCAUUUGGUACACUACCAUCAUCUAUGCACUUUGCUCACACCCAUAGCAGUCAUCCAUUCUCUUAAUCUACCUGAAGUGUUAAGAAAUUUAUUAGGAUCAUGGAAUACAAUAUUUUAUGAACAUCAGAUAAGAAAAUAUUCUAAGAACAGUGACCAGAACUAUGGGCCAUCACUAUCCUAGUCAGUUAUUCCUGCCCAGUAUAAAUUCAUUAAACUCACAUAUGUGCUGAUGAUCUGGUUUAUCUUUACAGCUGAUAGCAAGGCUUACAUGUCUUCAAUCUCCUGAACUGUUCUUACAGAAUAUAGUUAAUCAGUGUAGAGAGUACUUGAGACUGAUCUGGUAACUUCAUUCAUACAAUGCCAUUAUCAUACCAACUAGGCUGCAGGGAGUACAAAAUCUUCAGUACAUUCAAUGACCUAAUGAGUACAGAAGUGGUCUUACUCGAGUGACGUUUCCAGAAUAGACACCAAUACUCCUCAAACAAUUUUUACAUUCACAAUAUUGUGAACCUAUUCUUUCAUGCAAAUUAUUUUUAAUAAAUAUACAGAUAACUUAUUUCCUAACUCAUAACUUUGUAUUCCUAAACAUUUGUAAAUACAAGCAUACACGUACACACACACACACCAUAUUAAAGAAAUUCAAACAAUAUCUGCAAAACUGAAUAGCAUCAAUGUUUCACUUUCAUGUAGAUAUACUGCACUGUAGUACCCCCUUCAAAUUAUAUACACACUGUCUCAUGAUGGAGAGACUAAGAGAAUACAGAAUGAGGUUUGUGAUAAGUGAAUAAAGCCAAGCCCUAAUAUGAAAAUAUGCCUCUUUAUCUACUAUAGCAACUGUUCAAGAGACCUAUGAUCAUCCUCCCUGUGGCCAAGUCUGUACUAAACCUUCCGAAUUACAAAGGAAAUAUUGCAGGAAUUAGAACAAUUAAAAACACACAGAAAAGUUAAGAACAGAAUGUACUGAAUUGAAGUAGAGGUUUGCAAGAUUUCCGUAUUAUCUUGCAAGUUCAUGCCAGAAGGACCAGCAAUCCUGUUAUUACAAAAUAUUUAACAGGCCUCUGUUUUGUUUUUAACACCACCUCCCUGUAAUAUAAAGUUGGUAGAAUUACCGACAAUAUGUAAAGUAAAAGAACACAAGUGCAACUAAUGUGACAUUUUAUUGUAAUGGCUUGAUAAAGCUCCUGGAGAGCAAAACGUUGCCACAAUAAAAUGUCACAUUAGUUGCACUUGUGUCCUUUUACUUCACACCACCUCCCUGGAAACUUGUUGUCAACCAACACAAACAUUUUCAAUACUACCUCGCUGGAUGCUUGCUGUCAACCACUUUACAUAAACAUUACACUAAAAUGUGUGACUACAUAAACAUUACACUAAAACGUGUGAACCACCUAACUUGUAAAAAGUUAAGACCAUGGUCCUGGCUUACCAUCCAAUAUUUAACCCUUAAAUGGUCCAAACGUAUAUAUACGUUUUUUCAACAUCUGAAUGUAUGUAAAAAAAUGUAGAUCUUCUUUUUUGUUUUACAUGUGAAAACGUGUAAAAAAAACUUUUAUCUACAUUUUUUUUGUUAUAUUUGAAAAUAUGUAAAAAAAAGUAGAUCUACUUUCGUAGCUACGAAUUUGAACGUCGAUCUGUUUGGACCGUUUAAGGGUUAAUGAAGCAUUUCCACAAAAACUUAUGCAGUCGUCCACAAGUUGCAUCAAGGCCUGAAGACCCUCUGUCUCCUAGCUUGUUACUCACUCACCAAAUGUUUACUGUUGCAAACAGCUUAUGUUUUUUGUAGCUUUUCCUUAAAUAAAAGUCAAUCUUCAGUGAAGAUAUGACUAAUUCUAAAUUGAAUUUGUUUUCUAAAUCUUUCCUUGUAUCUUUUAUGCAUUUAAAUACAUAUAAUAUAGCAGAUAAAAAAACACAUUUUAAAGAUAAUUAUCAAAGAAUUAAAAAUAUAUACUUAAGAAAAUCUUAACAUACAAUUAGAACUGUUUUAAAUAUAACUCCAAUAUUUUGUAUGAAACAGUAAAGGCUAUGUAAUCUGGGAUGUUUCCCAUUAUUUAUAUAUCAAAUCUCCAUGCCAUCAACUAGACAACCACAAAUAACACAGACACAAUAUAGAAAACACUCCAAGAACCAAUUCUUCAGUAGCAGCGACUGAUAACAUCACCAUUGUGGGAAAAGACACUUACAGACAGUUCAAGACGUUUAUUACAGGAAAUGUUUUGCCAUGAGUAGCUUCUUCAGUCUUGAAGACAUGGCAAAACAUUUCCUUUAAUAAAUGUCCUAAACUGUACAUAAGUGCCUUUUUCCACAUCUUGUUGGUAUCACCAGACCAUUUUUCAGAUAUCACUAUUCUCACAGUGACCACUUGAACCAAAUUUUCCUCUUUACCUGCUUGACUAUAUGUGCAAAUAUAAAAAAACAAAAUAUAAUAUGCCAGGUCCUAGUAAUAAUCAGAGGGACCCAUGCACAAGCUACAAAAUCUUGAAAAGAAAUAUAAAAAUGGAGGAGCACUGCAGCAGGACUACUGGCCCAUACUAGGUAAGUCCUUUUCAAAUCCAACCAUUCUCACCCACAUGCUAAUCCCACAAGAAGUAACAAUACAUAUCAUAAGAUAUUUAUCAUCAAUUAUUAAGAGAGGAAUAAAGAUGCAAUAAAAAGCAUGAACAGUAUAUAUUAUCAGCUAUAUUAGUAGCAGCAUUUGUCACAUUCCUUUUAUGCCAUAAAAAUUAUCAUGAAUGUACAAAAGGACACAUAAUAUAGCAUAACUUGGGUCUUGGGCUGGGGAUUAGUUAUGUGAUCUACAACAUAACAGCUCCUUUUACCAUAAAUAUGAUUAAUUUUUACAUAUUUUACAUGUUCAAUAUGAUUUUGAAAGUGAAACUGAAUUUGAACUAAUUGACUAGAUCUAUUCCUUAAUACAGGCACAAUCUUAGGCAUAUUUAAGCAAUAUAAUGUGCUAUUAUUACUAAACAUUGAUGUACCCUUGUUUAAUUAAUAUUUAAACUUUAAUUAACCUCACACUUGACAAAG
Long non-coding RNA from Cherax quadricarinatus, 4661 nucleotides. RefSeq lists it as uncharacterized. The record is from RefSeq and is a predicted model, not a curated record. Lineage: Eukaryota; Metazoa; Arthropoda; Malacostraca; Decapoda; Parastacidae.